This 514-nucleotide ribosomal RNA is filed under the name Monothalamid sp. RNAcentral describes it as "partial small subunit ribosomal RNA". It matches the Rfam family "Eukaryotic small subunit ribosomal RNA", at positions 1200 to 1467 of the family's 1831-position model. Lineage: Eukaryota; Foraminifera. The record is from RNAcentral.
UCAACGCGGGAAAUCUUACCGGGUCCGGACACACUGAGGAUUGACAGGCAAUAUUAUUUAGAUAGUUUUGGAAGUUUCGGCUUUUGAAAUUAUUUUUAUAUGUAAAUAUGCUAGUCCUUUCAUGAUUAUGUGAUAGGUGGUGCAUGGCCGUUCUUAGUUCGUGGAGUGAUCUGUCUGCUUAAUUGCGUUUCACUAAGAGCUUANNNAAUUAUGUAUAUUUGCUUGUAUUUUUGACCCCCAAUUUGUUUUUUUUCUUGAGUUGUUUUUUCCGUUUCGAUGGUUUAGACGAUUCGAAUUAAAAUAGAUUGUGCGUGUUGUCAUUUAUACGCUAAGCAAUAUACAAUUAAGCUCUGAAAGCAACGAACGUGACCGCAUCCUCUUGUUGCCUCUAAUUUUUUAUCAUUGUAUUUAACCUCGGUUUUAUACUUUGUUAAGUUAAAGAGGCUUUAAAACUAGAGGGACCGCUGUAACUUUUUUAAACCAGAGGAAGGUUGCGGCAAUAACAGGUCUGUGA